Molecule: ribosomal RNA, 259 nt
Filed under: uncultured bacterium
Lineage: Bacteria
Description: partial 16S ribosomal RNA
Rfam family: Bacterial small subunit ribosomal RNA
Source: RNAcentral
AAGCGAGGCAAUGUCGCGAGACGGAGCGAAUCGCUAAAAGACCGUCCCAGUUCGGAUUGCAGGCUGCAACCCGCCUGCAUGAAGUUGGAAUCGCUAGUAAUCGCGGAUCAGCAUGCCGCGGUGAAUACGUUCCCGGGCCUUGUACACACCGCCCGUCACACCAUGAGAGUUUGUAACACCCAAAGCCGGUGGGGUAACCUUUUGGAGCCAGCCGUCUAAGGUGGGACAGAUGAUUGGGGUGAAGUCGUAACAAGGUAAC